GACCGCGUAGCUCAGUUGGCAGAGCAUUGGGCUAGUAUUCCAAAGGUCGUAGGUUCGAUUCCCACCAUGGCCA
Molecule: transfer RNA, 73 nt
Filed under: Paramuricea clavata
Lineage: Eukaryota; Metazoa; Cnidaria; Anthozoa; Malacalcyonacea; Plexauridae
Rfam family: tRNA
About the family: Transfer RNA (tRNA) molecules are approximately 80 nucleotides in length.
Source: Rfam by way of RNAcentral